Molecule: long non-coding RNA, 352 nt
Organism: Syngnathoides biaculeatus (alligator pipefish)
Lineage: Eukaryota; Metazoa; Chordata; Actinopteri; Syngnathiformes; Syngnathidae
Exons: 3
Source: RefSeq, a predicted model, not a curated record
UCGAAGUCCUGCAGCAGCACGUCCCGCUCGGACUUCUGAGCCAAGCUGCACACCGUGUGCGUGAUCCCCAGCUGGAUGGCGCCUUGCAGAGCCCACGAAGGCGUCUGGAAGGAUGGCGACGGCGACGAAGGCAGAUGCGAGCACGGUCUCCCCAGUCUGAUCCCCUCCCCGGUGGCCACUUGUAUUCUUCAAAACCGGAGCUGGAAUCUAGCGCUGGGAUCGGCUCCUGCGCUCCCCGCGACCCUCGUGAGGAUGAGCGGCUAAGAAAAUGGAUGGAUGUGACGUGGGACUCACAGCUUGCCUGGCGCAGCAGAGUAUGCCGGCUUCCCUGUCCUCUCCCUGCAGACCGCAG